RNAcentral lists this ribosomal RNA (497 nucleotides) under uncultured bacterium. Its description in RNAcentral is "partial 16S ribosomal RNA". It matches the Rfam family "Bacterial small subunit ribosomal RNA", at positions 28 to 507 of the family's 1533-position model. The record is from RNAcentral.
GACGAACGCUGGCGGCGUGCCUAAUACAUGCAAGUUGAGCGCUGAAGGUUGGUACUUGUACCAACUGCAUGAGCAGCGAACGGGUGAGUAACGCGUGGGGAAUCUGCUUUUCAGCGGGGGACAACAUGUGGAAACGAAUGCUAAUACCGCAUAAAAUCUUUAAACAUAAGGUUUAAGGUUGAAAUUUGCAAUUGCAGCACUCAAAGAUGACCCCGCGUUGUAUUAGCUGGUUGGUGAGGUAAAGGCGCUCUAAGGCGUUGAUACAUAGCCGACCUGAGCGGGUGCGCGGCCACAUUGGGACUGGGACCCGGCCCAUACUGCCACGGAAGGCGGCAGUACGGCAUCGUCGGCCAUCGGCGAGAGUCUGACCGAGAUACGCCGCGUGAGUGUGGAGGGUUUUCGGAUCGUAAAACUCUGUUGGUAGGGAAGAACGUUGGUGAGAGUGGAAAGCUCAUCAAGUGACGGUAACUACUCAGAAAGCACCGGCUAACUACGUG